CGAGAGUUUGAUCCUGGCUCAGGAUGAACGCUGGCGGCGUGCCUAACACAUGCAAGUCGAACGGGGCGUAUGCAGCGGAAGCUUUCGGGCGGAAGCAGCAUACAGCCUAGUGGCGGACGGGUGAGUAACGCGUGGGUAACCUGCCCUGUACAGGGGGACAACAGCUGGAAACGGCUGCUAAUACCGCAUAAGCCCGCGGUGCCGCAUGGCGCUGCGGGGAAAACUCCGGUGGUACAGGAUGGGCCCGCGUCUGAUUAGCUAGUUGCGGGGUAACGGCCCACCAAGGCAGCGAUCAGUAGCCGGCUUGAGAGAGUGGACGGCCACAUUGGGACUGAGACACGGCCCAGACUCCUACGGGAGGCAGCAGUGGGGAAUAUUGCACAAUGGGGGAAACCCUGAUGCAGCAACGCCGCGUGGGUGAAGAAGUAUUUCGGUAUGUAAAGCCCUAUCAGCAGGGAAGAAAGUGACGGUACCUGACUAAGAAGCUCCGGCUAAAUACGUG
Molecule: ribosomal RNA, 502 nt
Filed under: uncultured Lachnospiraceae bacterium
Lineage: Bacteria; Bacillati; Bacillota; Clostridia; Lachnospirales; Lachnospiraceae
Description: bacterial SSU rRNA
Rfam family: Bacterial small subunit ribosomal RNA
Source: RNAcentral